Molecule: ribosomal RNA, 118 nt
Organism: Ovis aries (sheep)
Lineage: Eukaryota; Metazoa; Chordata; Mammalia; Artiodactyla; Bovidae
Source: Rfam
GUCUACGGCCACACCACCCUGAACAUGCCCAAUCUCAUCUGAUCUCGGAAGCUAAGCAGGGUUGGGCCUGGUUAGUACUUGCAUGGGAGAAAAAGAAGCAAACUCAGAUAUAUAGAAC